GCCCAAGUAGCACAAUGGUAGUGCGUUGCUUUCCUAUGCCUCGGAUUUACGUCUUGGAUAAGAAGGCAAAGGUUGUGGGUUCGAUCCCCAUCUUGGGUU
Molecule: non-coding RNA, 99 nt
Organism: Paramarasmius palmivorus
Lineage: Eukaryota; Fungi; Basidiomycota; Agaricomycetes; Agaricales; Marasmiaceae
Source: the annotation of a GenBank genome assembly